RNAcentral lists this long non-coding RNA (876 nucleotides) under Rattus norvegicus (Norway rat). Its description in RNAcentral is "long non-coding RNA NONRATT018830". The stretch from base 634 to 763 matches the Rfam family "Small nucleolar RNA SNORA71". Lineage: Eukaryota; Metazoa; Chordata; Mammalia; Rodentia; Muridae. The record is from RNAcentral.
CCAGGAAGAAGGUGUUGCAGCCACCUUUUGUCCCACCCACCCCCAACUGAUAUUUGUGUCUUGGUUCCUGUUGAAGUCUUGGUUGUCUAUGGGGUCCUGAGUGUGGCUUGUCUCUGCAGGACUGUCAGUUGAUCUCUGCCACGUGUGCUCAACAGUCGUGUGCUCAACAGUCGUUGACUUUCCAGAAGAGGCUGGAACAGGGCCCUUGAAGGUAUGAAUCCAGACGCCUCACGAGAGAGAGAGCUGCUGUGGUCCGGCAAAGGCCACAGUCAUAAGAGAGAGAGAGCUGCUGUGGUCCGGCAAAGGCCACAGUCAUAAGGAAAAGCAGAGGCUGCUUCCCCACCCAGGCCGGCAGGGACGUGUCGGUUAGUGAGUCCUCAGAAGUACCCCCAAACUUGUCUGUUUCAUUGAUUGUCUUAGUAAAAGGCCACUAAAGCAGCACUACACCGUCGCUUGGCGUGUGUAGGGUGAUCAUGCCUGCAGGCAGUAGUAUGACAGCUCGUGUUGGAGAAGCUUGGAGAAUUGGAAGCUGCCUCUGUCAGAAGCUGUAGAUGUGGUCACUGUUCCUGGUCACUUAUCCCAGCUUGGCCCUUUGCUAAGCUGUCCACCUAUCCAUUGUGGUUUCCAGUCUGUCCCUGUAUUCGAAAGUGAUUAUGGGCUGCCCGUGCCCCGGUCAUUGAUACUGCAGGGAGAGGAUACGGAAAGCCUUUUCCCCGUGUUUGGAAGGUCUCCUGUCCUUACCAAACCCUGGUGCUUUCGAACAAAUCUUCUCAGCCUAUUGGUCUCUUGGCUGCUGAUACCUGGCUCACUGAGUGUCCUCUAUGAGUGCUGGCCAGUGUCCUCAGAGGCUUCUGUAAGGGAGAUAGAAGCCAGCCU